CAGUAGCCGCGGUAAUACGUAGGUGGCAAGCGUUGUCCGGAAUUAUUGGGCGUAAAGGGCUCGCAGGCGGUUUCUUAAGUCUGAUGUGAAAGCCCCCGGCUCAACCGGGGAGGGUCAUUGGAAACUGGGAAACUUGAGUGCAGAAGAGGAGAGUGGAAUUCCACGUGUAGCGGUGAAAUGCGUAGAGAUGUGGAGGAACACCAGUGGCGAAGGCGACUCUCUGGUCUGUAACUGACGCUGAGGAGCGAAAGCGCGGGGAGCGAACAGGAUUAGAUACCCCUGUAGUCCCUGUCUCUUAUAC
This 301-nucleotide ribosomal RNA is filed under the name uncultured bacterium. Its description in RNAcentral is "partial 16S ribosomal RNA". It matches the Rfam family "Bacterial small subunit ribosomal RNA", at positions 509 to 807 of the family's 1533-position model. The record is from RNAcentral.